This 92-nucleotide small RNA is filed under the name Atlantibacter sp. RC6. RNAcentral's name for it is "sRNA STnc70". It matches the Rfam family "Enterobacterial sRNA STnc70". The record is from RNAcentral. Lineage: Bacteria; Pseudomonadati; Pseudomonadota; Gammaproteobacteria; Enterobacterales; Enterobacteriaceae.
AAGCGCAACGCAUUGCCAGUUUACUGGCGCUGGAACGCCUGCGGGCGCUUCAGGUAAGGAGGCCACCCAACCGGGUGGCCUUUUUAUAUGGC